GGGGUUGUGGCUCAAGGUAGAGCACUUGCCUUACUUGUAUGAGGCACUGAGUUCGAUUCUCAGCACCA
This 68-nucleotide transfer RNA is filed under the name Ictidomys tridecemlineatus (thirteen-lined ground squirrel). Its description in RNAcentral is "Spermophilus tridecemlineatus (thirteen-lined ground squirrel) tRNA". It matches the Rfam family "tRNA". From Rfam's summary of the family: Transfer RNA (tRNA) molecules are approximately 80 nucleotides in length. Their secondary structure includes four short double-helical elements and three loops (D, anti-codon, and T loops). The record is from Rfam by way of RNAcentral. Lineage: Eukaryota; Metazoa; Chordata; Mammalia; Rodentia; Sciuridae.